GGGUAGGUGGUCCAGCCUGGUAGGAUUCCCGCCUCGGGAGCGGGAGGUCCUGGGUUCAAAUCCCAGCCUACCCA
Molecule: transfer RNA, 74 nt
Filed under: archaeon
Lineage: Archaea
Also listed under: 2 other names
Description: tRNA-Pro
Rfam family: tRNA
About the family: Transfer RNA (tRNA) molecules are approximately 80 nucleotides in length. Their secondary structure includes four short double-helical elements and three loops (D, anti-codon, and T loops). Further hydrogen bonds mediate the characteristic L-shaped molecular structure. tRNAs have two regions of fundamental functional importance: the anti-codon, which is responsible for specific mRNA codon recognition, and the 3' end, to which the tRNAs corresponding amino acid is attached (by aminoacyl-tRNA synthetases). tRNAs cope with the degeneracy of the genetic code in two manners: having more than one tRNA (with a specific anti-codon) for a particular amino acid; and 'wobble' base-pairing, i.e. permitting non-standard base-pairing at the 3rd anti-codon position.
Source: RNAcentral